Molecule: ribosomal RNA, 253 nt
Filed under: uncultured bacterium
Lineage: Bacteria
Description: partial 16S ribosomal RNA
Rfam family: Bacterial small subunit ribosomal RNA
Source: RNAcentral
UACAGAGGGGGCAAGCGUUGUUCGGAAUUACUGGGCGUAAAGGGCGCGUAGGCGGCCUGUUAAGUCGAACGUGAAAUCCCCGGGCUCAACCCGGGAACUGCGUCCGAUACUGGCAGGCUUGAAUUCGGGAGAGGGAUGUGGAAUUCCAGGUGUAGCGGUGAAAUGCGUAGAGAUCCGGAGGAACACCAGUGGCGAAGGCGACACGCUGGGCCGUACCUGACACUGAGGCGCGAAAGCGUGGGGAGCAAACAGG